AGAACGAACGCUGGCGGCAUGCCUAAUACAUGCAAGUCGAACGAACUCUUCGGAGUUAGUGGCGCACGGGUGCGUAACGCGUGGGAAUCUGCCCUUGGGUUCGGAAUAACAGUUGGAAACGACUGCUAAUACCGGAUGAUGACGAAAGUCCAAAGAUUUAUCGCCCAGGGAUGAGCCCGCGUAGGAUUAGCUAGUUGGUGAGGUAAAGGCUCACCAAGGCGACGAUCCUUAGCUGGUCUGAGAGGAUGAUCAGCCACACUGGGACUGAGACACGGCCCAGACUCCUACGGGAGGCAGCAGUAGGGAAUAUUGGACAAUGGGCGAAAGCCUGAUCCAGCAAUGCCGCGUGAGUGAUGAAGGCCUUAGGUUGUAAAGCUCUUUUACCCGAGAUGAUAAUGACAGUAUCGGAGAAUAAGCCCGGCUAACUCCGUGCCAGCAGCCGC
This 443-nucleotide ribosomal RNA is filed under the name uncultured soil bacterium. RNAcentral's name for it is "bacterial SSU rRNA". It matches the Rfam family "Bacterial small subunit ribosomal RNA", at positions 26 to 518 of the family's 1533-position model. The record is from RNAcentral.